UAUCAAUAAGCGGAGGAAAAGAAACCAACCGGGAUUGCCUCAGUAACGGCGAGUGAAGCGGCAACAGCUCAAAUUUGAAAUCUGGCUCCGUUCCGGGGUCCGAGUUGUAAUUUGUAGAGGAUGCUUCGGGCGCGGCACCGGUCUAAGUCCCUUGGAACAGGGCGUCAUAGAGGGUGAGGAUCCCGUAUGUGACCGGCGACCAAGUCCGUGUGAAGCCCCUUCGACGAGUCGAGUUGUUUGGGAAUGCAGCUCAAAAUGGGUGGUAAAUUUCAUCUAAAGCUAAAUACCGGCCAGAGACCGAUAGCGCACAAGUAGAGUGAUCGAAAGAUGAAAAGCACUUUGGAAAGAGAGUCAAAAAGUACGUGAAAUUGUUGAAAGGGAAGCGCUUGUAACCAGACCUGCCGUCGGGUGCUCAGCGGGCACUUGUGCCCGCCUAUUCACCCGCGAUCAGGCCAGCAUCGGUUUGGGCGGCCGGAUAAAGACUCGAGGAAUGUAGCUUCGCUUCGGGGAAGUGUUAUAGCCUCGGGUGCAAUACGGCCAGCCGGGACCGAGGACCGCGCUUCGGCUAGGAUGCUGGCGUAAUGGUUGCAAGCGACCCGUCUUGAAACACGGACCAAGGAGUCUAACAUCUAUGCGAGUGUUUGGGUGUCAAACCCAUGCGCGGAAUGAAAGUGAACGGAGGUGGGAACCCUCAAGGGCGCACCAUCGACCGAUCCGGAAGUUUACGGAUGGAUUUGAGUAUGAGCAUAGCUGUUGGGACCCGAAAGAUGGUGAACUAUGCCUGAAUAGGGUGAAGCCAGAGGAAACUCUGGUGGAGGCUCGCAGCGGUUCUGACGUGCAAAUCGAUCGUCAAAUUUGGGUAUAGGGGCGAAGUAAGCAUCUCCCCGGCUUCUUAUUUUGUGGUGUAACAAUUGCUAACAUAUCAACAGAGACUAAUCGAACCAUCUAGUAGCUGGUUCCUGCCGAAGUUUCGUAAGUUCCUCCCCAGGAGCCCCCCUAAUAUAAGCCUAUACUAACAAUUUCAAUAGCCUCAGGAUAGCAGUAACGUUUUCAGUUUUAUGAGGUAAAGCGAAUGAUUAGAAGCCUUGGGGAUGAAACAUCCUUAACUUAUUCUCAAACUUUAAAUAUGUAAGAAGUCCUUGUUACUUAGUUGAACGUGGACAUUUGAAUGCACCGUUACUAGUGGGCCAUUUUUGGUAAGCAGAACUGGCGAUGCGGGAUGAACCGAACGUGGGGUUAAGGUGCCGGAAUGUACGCUCAUCAGACAC
RNAcentral lists this ribosomal RNA (1268 nucleotides) under Niebla homalea. RNAcentral describes it as "LSU rRNA". It matches the Rfam family "Eukaryotic large subunit ribosomal RNA", at positions 41 to 1212 of the family's 3401-position model. Lineage: Eukaryota; Fungi; Ascomycota; Lecanoromycetes; Lecanorales; Ramalinaceae. The record is from RNAcentral.